UACAGGGGGUGCAAACGUUGCUCGGAAUCAUUGGGCGUAAAGCGCACGUAGGCGGUCUGUUAUGUCGGAUGUGAAAUCCCGGGGCUCAACCUCGGAACUGCCUUUGAUACUGCAAAUCUCGAGUCCGGAAGAGGUGAGUGGAAUUCCUAGUGUAGAGGUGAAAUUCGUAGAUAUUAGGAAGAACACCAGUGGCGAAGGCGGCUCACUGGUCCGGUACUGACGCUGAGGUGCGAAAGCGUGGGGAGCAAACAGG
RNAcentral lists this ribosomal RNA (253 nucleotides) under uncultured bacterium. Its description in RNAcentral is "partial 16S ribosomal RNA". It matches the Rfam family "Bacterial small subunit ribosomal RNA", at positions 524 to 776 of the family's 1533-position model. The record is from RNAcentral.